GACGAACGCUGGCGGCGUGCUUAACACAUGCAAGUCGAACGGAAAGGCCUCUUUCGGGGGGUACUCGAGUGGCGAACGGGUGAGUAACACGUGAGUAACCUGCCCUUGACUCUGGGAUAACUUCAGGAAACUGGGGCUAAUACCGGAUAGGAGCUCCUGCUGCAUGGUGGGGGUUGGAAAGUUUCGGCGGUUGGGGAUGGACUCGCGGCUUAUCAGCUUGUUGGUGGGGUAGUGGCUUACCAAGGCUUUGACGGGUAGCCGGCCUGGGAGGGGGACCGGCCACAUUGGGACUGAGAUACGGCCCAGACUCCUACGGGAGGCAGCAGUGGGGAAUAUUGCACAAUGGGUGGAAGCCUGAUGCAGCAACGCCGUGUGCGGGAUGACGGCCUUCGGGUUGUAAACCGCUUUCGCUCAUGACGAAGCUUUGUGUGACGGUAGUGGGUAAAGAAGCACCGGCUAACUACGUG
Molecule: ribosomal RNA, 467 nt
Filed under: uncultured bacterium
Lineage: Bacteria
Description: partial 16S ribosomal RNA
Rfam family: Bacterial small subunit ribosomal RNA
Source: RNAcentral